CCUACGGGUGGCAGCAGUGAGGAAUAUUGGUCAAUGGGCGGAAGCCUGAACCAGCCAAGUAGCGUGAGGGAUUAAGGCCCUACGGGUCGUAAACCGCUUUUGCACGGGGAUAAGACCCUGCACUCGUGCCGGCCUGCAGGUUCCCUGCGAAUAAGGGCUGGCCAAACCCGUGCCAGCCGCCGCGGUAAUACGGAAGGCCCGAGCGUUAUUCGGAUUCAUUGGGGUUAAAGGGGGCGUAGGCGGGCGUUCAAGUCCGCGGUAAAAAAGCGCGGCUCAACCCCGGCCCGCAGUUGAAACUGGGGGCCUGGAGUGGGCGAGAGGAAGGCGGAAUUCGUGGUGUAGCGGUGAAAUGCAUAGAUAUCACGCAGAACCCCGAUUGCGAAGGCAGCCUGCCGGGGUGCGACUGACGCUGAGGCACGAAGGUGCGGGGAUCGAACAGGAUUAGAUACCCCGGUAGUC
RNAcentral lists this ribosomal RNA (459 nucleotides) under uncultured bacterium. RNAcentral's name for it is "partial 16S ribosomal RNA". It matches the Rfam family "Bacterial small subunit ribosomal RNA", at positions 338 to 795 of the family's 1533-position model. The record is from RNAcentral.